This 1149-nucleotide long non-coding RNA is filed under the name Triticum aestivum (bread wheat). RNAcentral describes it as "long non-coding RNA (TAES_LNC025664)". Lineage: Eukaryota; Viridiplantae; Streptophyta; Magnoliopsida; Poales; Poaceae. The record is from RNAcentral.
GCUGACAUUUUAGAUUCGAUCUUUCAUUUAUCAUCUAUACCAGUUUUGGUCUACAAGUCAAAAGGUUCUUGAGCAUACCACUUCACCAUAAAUAAAUCAAGUGACCCCGCUUACAAAUACCAAGCUCAUAUUCUUAGCAGGCAUCGAAAAAUAACCCUAUGUGUCUGCGGCAUGAAUUGUAAUCAAGAAGCAAAACACAAUUGCUCAACUUAAUCAAAUAAAUUGAUUGGUACUACCUUCAUGAGACAUUACUUGAGAAAUCGAAUAGAAGAGGGCAUCAUCAUUUCCUCGGUGAUCAAUGUUUCGGCUAAAGCAUGUGGGAGACAUCAACAUCAAACAAAUGGGGAAUGUAAUUCACUAGGGUAAUUUAAUUUGCAAGGAAUGAACUAGUGAUUUGUUGCUGGUGCCUCAAUACUAUUUUUUUCACAUAAACUCGCCCAAUAAUCAUAGGCAUGGAUAAGCCAACAAACCAAUUGACUUGCUAGAAAAUUCAACAAGCAAUAGAUCUGAAUCAAUUGUAAUCUGGAGAGAUGGAACCGAUUAACUGGAGAGAAGCCAGCAUAACUGCUAGGGAAAGGCUGGAAGAGUAGCAGAUCCGGAUUAGGCCCAGCGCCUUCUCCAGGGGCUGCUCCUGCUAGUGCAUCAGCAGUCCGGCACCCCUCGUAUCACCAUCUCCACCAUAAUUUCACAUUGCCAACAGGGUCAACAUUUUUUCAGUAAACUGCAGCCGAUGGCUUAAGUCAGAACAAAAGAGGUUGAAUGUAAAACCUCAAAUGGAAACUCACCGGCCACCAACGGAUCCAGACCUGGCUGCAGCCCCCUAAUUGCUGCGCGCAGCCGGCGCUUCCACACUCCGCGGCAGCAGCAUCAGAGGGACCGGAUCCGACUGCUCCAAGCUGUUCGCGAACUCCUCCCAGCGUGGGAACCUUGAAAACCACAGCAGAGUAAGCGGCGGCGGCGGGGAAUCAGUAUAUCCAUCGAAGCACGAAAAUCCAUGGGCGAGCACUGUGGAACAGAAAACUCACCGGUCACCCCAUCGGCAUCCAUCGCCGCUCCGCCGCAAGAAGUCGCGUCCCCUACGCACGCCGUUACCAUCGCACAAGUUUUGAGCCACGGCUCAGACACCCGCACUCACGGAUCAACGCCACC